UCGAGAAUCUUGGGCAAUGCGCGAAAGCGUGACCCAGCAAUGCCGCGUGCAUGAUGAAGGCCUUCGGGUUGUAAAAUGCUGUCACCCGGGACGAAAAAAAUGACGGUACCGGGGGAGGAAGCCACCGCUAACUACGUGCCAGCAGCCGCGGUAAUACGUAGGUGGCGAGCGUUGUUCGGAAUUACUGGGCGUAAAGCGCACGUAGGCGGAUUUUUAAGUCAGGGGUAAAAUCCCGAGGCUCAACCUCGGAACUGCUUUUGUGACUGUAUAACUAGAGUACGGCAGAGGGGGAUGGAAUUCCGCGUGUAGCAGUGAAAUGCGUAGAUAUGCGGAGGAACACCAAUGGCGAAGGCAAUCCCCUGGGCCUGUACUGACACUCAUGCACGAAAGCGUGGGGAGCAAACA
Molecule: ribosomal RNA, 405 nt
Filed under: uncultured bacterium
Lineage: Bacteria
Description: bacterial SSU rRNA
Rfam family: Bacterial small subunit ribosomal RNA
Source: RNAcentral